Molecule: non-coding RNA, 484 nt
Organism: Canis lupus familiaris (dog)
Lineage: Eukaryota; Metazoa; Chordata; Mammalia; Carnivora; Canidae
Source: the annotation of a RefSeq genome assembly
AAAGACUACUGGGUUUGGGGAAGUGAUGACGUCACAGAGUAGCUGGUUACAGGGGGUGAAAAAAGCCUCAGAGAAAGCCACCUGACCCUAUUCUUUCUGUAAUGCUGCCAUGUGCCCAGUGUUCAUCUGCUCCUUGGUCCUCUGGCUCCUGAGUACAGGCACCCUCAAUGCAAAAGUCAUGCAGACUCCAGGACAUCUGGUCAAAGGGAAAGGACAAAAAGCAAAAAUGGAAUGUGUCCCAAUAAAAGGACAUAGUUAUGUUUUCUGGUAUCAGCAGAUCCCAGCAAAAGAGUUCAAGUUCUUGAUUUCUUUCCAGGAUAACGCUGUCUUUGAUAAAACAGGGAUGCCCACGCAGAGAUUUUUAGCCUUCUGUCCAAAAAACUCACCCUGUAGCCUAGAGAUCGAGCGUACAGAGCUGCAGGAUUCAGCCGUGUAUUUUUGUGCCAGCAGUGAAUCCACAGUGUUAAAUAUUAGUAAAUCUUAA